Molecule: ribosomal RNA, 406 nt
Filed under: uncultured bacterium
Lineage: Bacteria
Description: bacterial SSU rRNA
Rfam family: Bacterial small subunit ribosomal RNA
Source: RNAcentral
UGAGGAAUUUUCUGCAAUGGGCGAAAGCCUGACAGAGCAAUACCGCGUGAGGGAUGAAGGCCUAUGGGUUGUAAACCUCUUUUCUCAAGGAGGAAGAUCUGACGUUACUUGAGGAAUAAGCAUCGGCUAACCCUGUGCCAGCAGCCGCGGUAAUACAGGGGAUGCAAGUGUUAUCCGGAAUCAUUGGGCGUAAAGCGUCUGCAGGUUGAUAAUUAAGUCUUUUGUUAAAUUUCUAGGCUUAACCUGGAGUCGGCAAAAGAAACUAUUUAUCUUGAGUAUGGUAGAGGUAAAGGGAAUUUCAAGUGGAGCGGUGAAAUGCGUAGAUAUUUGAAAGAACACCAAUAGCGAAGGCACUUUACUGGGCCAGUACUGACACUCAGAGACGAAAGCUAGGGGAGCAAACAGG